AAUCAACGCUGGCGGCGUGCCUCAGACAUGCAAGUCGAACGUGAAAGUUCCUUCGGGAAUGAGUAAAGUGGCGCACGGGUGAGUAACACGUGGGUAAUUUGCCUUCGGGUGGGGAAUACCAACCGGAAACGGUUGUUAAUACCGCAUGAUGCAGCGGCUCGACAUCGAGACAGUUGUUAAAGCGGGGGAGCGGAGCAAUCCGUCCUCGCGCCUGAAGAGAAGCCCGCGGCGGAUUAGGAGUUGGUGAGGUAAUGGCUCACCAAGCCUGCGAUCCGUAACCGACCUGAGAGGGUGGUCGGUCACACUGACACUUAGAUACGGGUCAGACUCCUACGGGAGGCAGCAGUCGGGAAUUUUGGGCAAUGGGCGCAAGCCUGACCCAGCAACGCCGCGUGAAGGAUGAAGCUUUUCGGAGUGUAAACUUCGCAAAGAACAGGAAGAAUUAGUGAACGCAAAUACCGUUCAUGAUGACGGUACUUGUUUGUAAGCUCCGGCUAACUCCGUGCCAGCCGCC
RNAcentral lists this ribosomal RNA (514 nucleotides) under uncultured bacterium. Its description in RNAcentral is "bacterial SSU rRNA". It matches the Rfam family "Bacterial small subunit ribosomal RNA", at positions 32 to 516 of the family's 1533-position model. The record is from RNAcentral.